RNAcentral lists this ribosomal RNA (506 nucleotides) under uncultured bacterium. Its description in RNAcentral is "partial 16S ribosomal RNA". It matches the Rfam family "Bacterial small subunit ribosomal RNA", at positions 30 to 523 of the family's 1533-position model. The record is from RNAcentral.
AUUGAACGCUGGCGGCAGGCCUAACACAUGCAAGUCGGACGGUAACAGGAAACAGCUUGCUGUUUCGCUGACGAGUGGCGGACGGGGGAGUAAUGUCUGGGAAACUGCCUGAUGGAGGGGGAUAACUACUGGAAACGGUAGCUAAUACCGCAUAACGUCGCAAGACCAAAGAGGGGGACCCUCGGGCCUCUUGCCCUCGGAUGUGCCCAAAUGGGAUGAGCUUGUUGGGUGGGUAAUGGCUCACCAAGGCUACGAUCCCUAGCUGGUCUGAGAGUAUGACCAGCCACACUGGAACUGAGACACGGUCCAGACUCCUACGGGAGGCAGCAGUGGGGAAUAUUGCACAAUGGGCGCAAGCCUGAUGCAGCCAUGCCGCGUGUAUGAAGAAGGCCUUCGGGUUGUAAAGUACUUUCAGCGGGGAGGAAGGGAGUAAAGUUAAUACCUUUGCUCAUUGACGUUACCCGCAGAAGAAGCACCGGCUAACUCCGUGCCAGCCGCCGCCGUAA